UGUAGUUCAGUGGUAGAGUACAUGUUUAGCAUGCAUGAGGCCCUGGGUUCAAUCCUCAGCA
Molecule: transfer RNA, 61 nt
Filed under: Marmota marmota marmota (Alpine marmot)
Lineage: Eukaryota; Metazoa; Chordata; Mammalia; Rodentia; Sciuridae
Also listed under: 4 other names
Rfam family: tRNA
About the family: Transfer RNA (tRNA) molecules are approximately 80 nucleotides in length.
Source: Rfam by way of RNAcentral